AUAACCUGGAGGAAGGUGGGGAUGACGUCAAAUCAUCAUGCCCCUUAUGCUUAGGGCUACACAAGUGCUACAAUGGGUAGUACAGAGGGUUGCCAAGCCGUAAGGUGGAGCUAAUCCCUUAAAGCUACUCUCAGUUCGGAUUGUAGGCUGAAACUCGCCUACAUGAAGCUGGAGUUACUAGUAAUCGCAGAUCAGAAUGCUGCGGUGAAUGCGUUCCCGGGUCUUGUACACACCGCCCGUCACACCACGGGAGUUGGAGACGCCCGAAGCCGAUUAUCUAACCUGUUGGAAGAAGUCGUCGAAGGUGGAAUCAAUAACUGGGGUGAAGUCGUAACAAGGUAGCCGUAUCGGAAGGUGCGGCUGGAUCACCUCCUUUCUAAGGAGA
RNAcentral lists this ribosomal RNA (385 nucleotides) under Clostridioides difficile. RNAcentral's name for it is "bacterial SSU rRNA". It matches the Rfam family "Bacterial small subunit ribosomal RNA", at positions 1158 to 1533 of the family's 1533-position model. The record is from RNAcentral. Lineage: Bacteria; Bacillati; Bacillota; Clostridia; Peptostreptococcales; Peptostreptococcaceae.